This 248-nucleotide ribosomal RNA is filed under the name uncultured bacterium. RNAcentral's name for it is "partial small subunit ribosomal RNA". It matches the Rfam family "Bacterial small subunit ribosomal RNA", at positions 26 to 285 of the family's 1533-position model. The record is from RNAcentral.
AGGAUGAACGCUGGCGGCAGGCUUAACACAUGCAAGUCGAUCGAGAAAGUGGAGCAAUCCAUGAGUAAAGAGGCGCACGGGGUGAGUAACACGUGACUAACCUACCCUCGAGUGGGGAUAAACCUGGGGAAACCCGGGCGUAAUACGCAUAAUACCCACGGGUCAAAGGAGCAAUUCGCUUGAGGAGGGGUCGGCGGCGAGAUUAGUUAGUUGGCGGGGUAAGUGGCCCGACCAGACGAUGAUCUGUA